Nomascus leucogenys (northern white-cheeked gibbon) is the source of this 100-nucleotide long non-coding RNA. RefSeq lists it as uncharacterized. The record is from RefSeq and is a predicted model, not a curated record. Lineage: Eukaryota; Metazoa; Chordata; Mammalia; Primates; Hylobatidae. The transcript is spliced from 3 exons.
UUCCUGAAGUUUAAUAAAAAGCCAUCUUCAUAACAUAAACAUGAAAAGUGAAGCAGUAAGUGCUGAUGUGGAAGCUGCAGCAAGUUAUCCAGAUGAUCUA